UUUCUCAAUGGGGGAAACCCUGAAGGAGCGACGCCGCGUGGAGGAUGAAGGUCUUCGGGUUGUAAACUCCUGUCAUUUGGGAACAAGUGUCGGUACCUAACUGCUACCGGCUUGAUAGUACCAGAAGAGGAAGAGACGGCUAACUCUGUGCCAGCAGCCGCGGUAAUACAGAGGUCACAAGCGUUGUUCGGAUUCAUUGGGCGUAAAGGGUGUGUAGGUGGCGCGCUAAGUCGGGUGUCACAUUUCGGAGCUUAACUCCGAAACUGCAUUCGAUACUGGCGUGCUUGAGGACUGGAGAGGAGACUGGAAUUCAUGGUGUAGCAGUAAAAUGCGUAGAGAUCAUGAGGAAGACCAGUGGCGAAGGCGGGUCUCUGGACAGUUCCUGACACUGAGACACGAAGGCCAGGGGAGCAAACGGGAUUAGAUACCCCGGUAGUCCUGGCAGUAAACGGUGCACGUUUGGUGUGGGAGGAUUCGACCCCUUCUGCGGCCGGAGCUAACGAGUUAACACGUGCCGCCUGGGCAAGUACGGUCGCAAGAUUAAAACUCAAAGAAAUUGACGGGGGCCCGSACAAGCGGUGGAGUAUGUGGCUUAAUUCGAUGCAACGCGGAGAACCUUACCUGGCCUUGACAUGCAUCUCUAAGCGCGUGAAAGCGCGUGACUCCCGAAAGGGAGAAUUUGCACAGGUGCUGCAUGGCUGUCGUCAGCUCGUGCCGUGAGAUGUUGGGUUAAGUACCGCAACGAGCGCAACCCCUGUGAACUGUUGCCACCAAGCCGUGAGGCUUGAGCACUCUGUUCAGACUGCCCUGUGAAACGGGGAGGAAGGUGGGGACGACGUCAAGUCAGUAUGGCCCUUACGGCCAGGGCUGCACACGUACUACAAUGCCCAGUACAGAACGAUCCGAGACCGCGAGGUGGAGGUAAUCUAGUAAAACUGGGCCCAGUUCGGAUUGGAGUCUGCAACUCGACUCCAUGAAGCGGGAAUCGCU
Molecule: ribosomal RNA, 990 nt
Filed under: uncultured Verrucomicrobiota bacterium
Lineage: Bacteria; Pseudomonadati; Verrucomicrobiota
Description: bacterial SSU rRNA
Rfam family: Bacterial small subunit ribosomal RNA
Source: RNAcentral